This 399-nucleotide ribosomal RNA is filed under the name uncultured bacterium. RNAcentral's name for it is "bacterial SSU rRNA". It matches the Rfam family "Bacterial small subunit ribosomal RNA", at positions 355 to 771 of the family's 1533-position model. The record is from RNAcentral.
UGGGGAAUAUUGCACAAUGGGCGAAAGCCUGAUGCAGCAAUGCCGCGUGAGUGAUGAAGGCCCUCGGGUCGUAAAGCUCUUUUACCCGAGAUGAUAAUGACAGUACCGGGAGAAUAAGUCCCGGCUAACUCCGUGCCAGCAGCCGCGGUAAUACGGAGGGAGCUAGCGUUGUUCGGAAUUACUGGGCGUAAAGCGCGCGUAGGCGGCUUUUCAAGUCAGGGGUGAAAUCCCGGGGCUCAACCUCGGAACUGCCUUUGAAACUGGAGAGCUAGAAUCUUGGAGAGGCGAGUGGAAUUCCGAGUGUAGAGGUGAAAUUCGUAGAUAUUCGGAAGAACACCAGUGGCGAAGGCGACUCGCUGGACAAGUAUUGACGCUGAGGCGCGAAAGCGUGGGGAGCAA